Molecule: ribosomal RNA, 464 nt
Filed under: uncultured bacterium
Lineage: Bacteria
Description: partial 16S ribosomal RNA
Rfam family: Bacterial small subunit ribosomal RNA
Source: RNAcentral
CCUACGGGUGGCAGCAGUAGGGAAUUUUCGUCAAUGGGGGGAACCCUGACCGAGCAACGCCGCGUGAAGGAAGAAGGAAUUCGUUCUGUAAACUUCUGUUAUAAAGGAAGAAAGACGGAUGGAGGAAAUGACAUCCGAGUGACGGUACUUUAUCAGAAAGCCACGGCUAACUACGUGCCAGCAGCGGCGGUAAUACGUAGGUGGCAAGGGUUAUCCGGAAUUAUUGGGCGUAAAGAGGGAGCAGGCGGCAGCAAAGGUCUGUGGUAAAAGACUGAAGCUUAACUUCAGUAAGCCAUGGAAACCGGGCGGCUAGAGUGCAGGAGAGGAUGGUGGAAUUCGGGGUGUAGCGGUGAAAUGCGUAGAUAUAUGGAGGAACACCAGUGGCGAAGGCGGCGAGCUGGCCUGCAACUGACGCUCAGUCACGAAAGCGUGGGGAGCAAAUAGGAUUAGAUACCCGAGUAGUC